AUUUGGUUUUCUUUAACUUGGAUGUGACGGGAGUCAUCGGCUUUCUCCGCUUCUUACGCUCCCUUGACGAAACGUGCCGCACUUGAACCAUCUUAACAUACACAAACACCACACCACUUCUCUUCAAAACAAUGGUAUAUAAUUGCACAUCAAUGCACAUAACAAUACCAUAUCUAAACCCCCAAUUCACAUUGCCCUUUGAUCGAUUACAAAACAGACCAAAAUCAAAUAAAACCCCCAACUAAGUCCGGUAUUUGCUGCAAAAUUUUCUUCAUUUCCUAAUGAUUCAAGAACACGAAUAUAUCUUUCUCAGGCAUUUUCUCAGUAACCAAACAGGCAAGACCACCCACUGAAAAAACCCAACUUACCGAGAAAGGGAAUGGCGAGGAGCGAAGAGCAGUGACAGCCAGUGAAGGUUGGGUCGGUGAAUGGGCACUGAAAAGGGACCUGACGAUCCAUCUGUUAUCAAUUGAUGCGAAAGGGAGAGGCUGG
This 492-nucleotide long non-coding RNA is filed under the name Malus domestica (apple). Its description in RNAcentral is "long non-coding RNA (MDOM_LNC005471)". The record is from RNAcentral. Lineage: Eukaryota; Viridiplantae; Streptophyta; Magnoliopsida; Rosales; Rosaceae.